UACGUAGGGGGCUAGCGUUGUCCGGAAUCAUUGGGCGUAAAGAGCGUGUAGGCGGCCCGGUAAGUCCGCUGUGAAAGUCGGGGGCUCAACCCUCGAAUGCCGGUGGAUACUGUCGGGCUGGAGUGCGGAAGAGGCGAGUGGAAUUCCUGGUGUAGCGGUGAAAUGCGCAGAUAUCGGGAGGAACACCUGUGGCGAAGGCGGCUUUCUGGGCCUUACCUGACGCUGAGACGCGAAAGCGUGGGGAGCGAACCGG
This 253-nucleotide ribosomal RNA is filed under the name uncultured bacterium. RNAcentral describes it as "partial 16S ribosomal RNA". It matches the Rfam family "Bacterial small subunit ribosomal RNA", at positions 524 to 776 of the family's 1533-position model. The record is from RNAcentral.